UACGUAGGGUGCAAGCGUUGUCCGGAAUUAUUGGGCGUAAAGAGCUCGUAGGCGGUCUGUCGCGUCGGACGUGAAAAUCCAGGGCUCAACCCUGGACCUGCGUUCGAUACGGGCAGACUAGAGUUCGGUAGGGGAGACUGGAAUUCCUGGUGUAGCGGUGGAAUGCGCAGAUAUCAGGAAGAACACCAAUGGCGAAGGCAGCUCUCUGGGACGGUACUGACGCUGAGACGCGAAAGCGUGGGGAGCGAACAGG
RNAcentral lists this ribosomal RNA (253 nucleotides) under uncultured bacterium. RNAcentral describes it as "partial 16S ribosomal RNA". It matches the Rfam family "Bacterial small subunit ribosomal RNA", at positions 524 to 776 of the family's 1533-position model. The record is from RNAcentral.